CAUAAAUAUAUUGUCUAUGUUAAUACACGAUUAAUUAUAUACAAAUUUUACAACUGCGGAGUCACUAACUAAUAGAUAUACAUAGAUUUUUAUACAUCUAGACACAUAGCAAAAUAUUUAUUGGUCUAGGAAAAUUUUCUUUAUAGCUCUGCGACGAAGGAACAUAGCUUAACCGAAUUAAAGAGAAACUUACUUCCUGAAAAAUUUAAACAAGACAUGUGAGUUUUCUAAGGAGUAAUAAUUAUUGCACAACACACGCAGUCACACAAAUAUGUAAACAUAUCAAUCUAGUCAUCCGACUAGUUAUAUGCUCACGCAGCCAGUCACACAAAUGGCAUAUCANNN
RNAcentral lists this long non-coding RNA (345 nucleotides) under Jatropha curcas. RNAcentral's name for it is "long non-coding RNA (JCUR_LNC001417)". Lineage: Eukaryota; Viridiplantae; Streptophyta; Magnoliopsida; Malpighiales; Euphorbiaceae. The record is from RNAcentral.